RNAcentral lists this ribosomal RNA (881 nucleotides) under Clostridium tyrobutyricum. Its description in RNAcentral is "bacterial SSU rRNA". It matches the Rfam family "Bacterial small subunit ribosomal RNA", at positions 507 to 1391 of the family's 1533-position model. Lineage: Bacteria; Bacillati; Bacillota; Clostridia; Eubacteriales; Clostridiaceae. The record is from RNAcentral.
GCCACGAGCCGCGGUAAUACGUAGGUGGCGAGCGUUGUCCGGAUUUACUGGGCGUAAAGGGAGCGUAGGCGGAUGUUUAAGUGAGAUGUGAAAUACCCGGGCUUAACUUGGGUGCUGCAUUUCAAACUGGAUAUCUAGAGUGCAGGAGAGGAGAAUGGAAUUCCUAGUGUAGCGGUGAAAUGCGUAGAGAUUAGGAAGAACACCAGUGGCGAAGGCGAUUCUCUGGACUGUAACUGACGCUGAGGCACGAAAGCGUGGGUAGCAAACAGGAUUAGAUACCCUGGUAGUCCACGCCGUAAACGAUGAGUACUAGGUGUAGGAGGUAUCGACCCCUUCUGUGCCGCAGUAAACACAUUAAGUACUCCGCCUGGGAAGUACGAUCGCAAGAUUAAAACUCAAAGGAAUUGACGGGGGCCCGCACAAGCAGCGGAGCAUGUGGUUUAAUUCGAAGCAACGCGAAGAACCUUACCUGGACUUGACAUCCCCUGAAUAACCUAGAGAUAGGCGAAGCCCUUCGGGGCAGGGAGACAGGUGGUGCAUGGUUGUCGUCAGCUCGUGUCGUGAGAUGUUAGGUUAAGUCCUGCAACGAGCGCAACCCUUAUUGUUAGUUGCUAACAUUCAGUUGAGCACUCUAACGAGACUGCCGCGGUUAACGCGGAGGAAGGUGGGGAUGACGUCAAAUCAUCAUGCCCCUUAUGUCCAGGGCAACACACGUGCUACAAUGGGCAGAACAAAGAGAAGCAAUACCGCGAGGUGGAGCCAAACUCAAAAACUGCUCUCAGUUCGGAUUGCAGGCUGAAACUCGCCUGCAUGAAGCUGGAGUUGCUAGUAAUCGCGAUCAGCAUGUCGCGGUGAAUACGUUCCCGGGCCUUGUACACACG